This 1248-nucleotide ribosomal RNA is filed under the name Enterococcus faecium. RNAcentral's name for it is "bacterial SSU rRNA". It matches the Rfam family "Bacterial small subunit ribosomal RNA", at positions 1 to 1221 of the family's 1533-position model. Lineage: Bacteria; Bacillati; Bacillota; Bacilli; Lactobacillales; Enterococcaceae. The record is from RNAcentral.
UUUUAUGAGAGUUUGAUCCUGGCUCAGGACGAACGCUGGCGGCGUGCCUAAUACAUGCAAGUCGAACGCUUCUUUUUCCACCGGAGCUUGCUCCACCGGAAAAAGAGGAGUGGCGAACGGGUGAGUAACACGUGGGUAACCUGCCCAUCAGAAGGGGAUAACACUUGGAAACAGGUGCUAAUACCGUAUAACAAUCGAAACCGCAUGGUUUUGAUUUGAAAGGCGCUUUCGGGUGUCGCUGAUGGAUGGACCCGCGGUGCAUUAGCUAGUUGGUGAGGUAACGGCUCACCAAGGCCACGAUGCAUAGCCGACCUGAGAGGGUGAUCGGCCACAUUGGGACUGAGACACGGCCCAAACUCCUACGGGAGGCAGCAGUAGGGAAUCUUCGGCAAUGGACGAAAGUCUGACCGAGCAACGCCGCGUGAGUGAAGAAGGUUUUCGGAUCGUAAAACUCUGUUGUUAGAGAAGAACAAGGAUGAGAGUAACUGUUCAUCCCUUGACGGUAUCUAACCAGAAAGCCACGGCUAACUACGUGCCAGCAGCCGCGGUAAUACGUAGGUGGCAAGCGUUGUCCGGAUUUAUUGGGCGUAAAGCGAGCGCAGGCGGUUUCUUAAGUCUGAUGUGAAAGCCCCCGGCUCAACCGGGGAGGGUCAUUGGAAACUGGGAGACUUGAGUGCAGAAGAGGAGAGUGGAAUUCCAUGUGUAGCGGUGAAAUGCGUAGAUAUAUGGAGGAACACCAGUGGCGAAGGCGGCUCUCUGGUCUGUAACUGACGCUGAGGCUCGAAAGCGUGGGGAGCAAACAGGAUUAGAUACCCUGGUAGUCCACGCCGUAAACGAUGAGUGCUAAGUGUUGGAGGGUUUCCGCCCUUCAGUGCUGCAGCUAACGCAUUAAGCACUCCGCCUGGGGAGUACGACCGCAAGGUUGAAACUCAAAGGAAUUGACGGGGGCCCGCACAAGCGGUGGAGCAUGUGGUUUAAUUCGAAGCAACGCGAAGAACCUUACCAGGUCUUGACAUCCUUUGACCACUCUAGAGAUAGAGCUUCCCCUUCGGGGGCAAAGUGACAGGUGGUGCAUGGUUGUCGUCAGCUCGUGUCGUGAGAUGUUGGGUUAAGUCCCGCAACGAGCGCAACCCUUAUUGUUAGUUGCCAUCAUUCAGUUGGGCACUCUAGCAAGACUGCCGGUGACAAACCGGAGGAAGGUGGGGAUGACGUCAAAUCAUCAUGCCCCUUAUGACCUGGGCUACACAC